Molecule: microRNA precursor, 71 nt
Filed under: Mesocricetus auratus (golden hamster)
Lineage: Eukaryota; Metazoa; Chordata; Mammalia; Rodentia; Cricetidae
Description: miRNA (ENSMAUG00000001765.1)
Source: RNAcentral
UUCAUGUGUGUGUGCAUGUACACAUGUACAUACACAUACCUUCAUACACGAACACCACAUUCAUGUGUGCA